UAUACCGUGAAACUGCGAAUGGCUCAUUAAAUCAGUUAUCGUUUAUUUGAUAGUACCUUACUACAUGGAUAACCGUGGUAAUUCUAGAGCUAAUACAUGCUAAAAACCUCGACUUCGGAAGGGGUGUAUUUAUUAGAUAAAAAACCAAUGCCCUUCGGGGCUCCUUGGUGAUUCAUAAUAACUUAACGAAUCGCAUGGCCUUGCGCCGGCGAUGGUUCAUUCAAAUUUCUGCCCUAUCAACUUUCGAUGGUAGGAUAGUGGCCUACCAUGGUUUCAACGGGUAACGGGGAAUUAGGGUUCGAUUCCGGAGAGUGAGCCUGAGAAACGGCUAACACAUCCAAGGAAGGCAGCAGGCGCGCAAAUUACCCAAUCCCGACACGGGGAGGUAGUGACAAUAAAUACUGAUACAGGGCUCUUUUGGGUCUUGUAAUUGGAAUGAGUACAAUUUAAAUCCCUUAACGAGGAACAAUUGGAGGGCAAGUCUGGUGCCAGCAGCCGCGGUAAUUCCAGCUCCAAUAGCGUAUAUUAAAGUUGUUGCAGUUAAAAAGCUCGUAGUUGAACCUUGGGCCUGGUUGGCCGGUCCGCCUCACCGCGUGCACUGGUCCGACCGGGCCUUUCCUUCUGGGGAGCCGCAUGCCCUUCAUUGGGUGUGUCGGGGAUCCAGGACUUUUACUUUGAAAAAAUUAGAGUGUUCAAAGCAGGCCUAUGCUCGAAUACAUUAGCAUGGAAUAAUAGAAUAGGACGUGUGGUUCUAUUUUGUUGGUUUCUAGGACCGCCGUAAUGAUUAAUAGGGCCAGCCGGGGGUGUCAGUAUUGCGUUGUCAGAGGUGAAAUUCUUGGAUUUACGCAAGACUAACUACUGCGAAAGCAUUCACCAAGAAUGGUUUCAUUAAUCAGUGAACGAAAGUUAGGGGAUCGAAGACGAUCAGAUACCGUCGUAGUCUUAACCAUAAACUAUGCCGACUAGGGAUUGGACGAUGUUAUCUUUUUGACUCGUCCAGCACCUUACGAGAAAUCAAAGUCUUUGGGUUCU
This 1032-nucleotide ribosomal RNA is filed under the name Lirula macrospora. RNAcentral's name for it is "SSU rRNA". It matches the Rfam family "Eukaryotic small subunit ribosomal RNA", at positions 75 to 1115 of the family's 1831-position model. The record is from RNAcentral. Lineage: Eukaryota; Fungi; Ascomycota; Leotiomycetes; Rhytismatales; Rhytismataceae.